This 461-nucleotide ribosomal RNA is filed under the name uncultured bacterium. RNAcentral describes it as "bacterial SSU rRNA". It matches the Rfam family "Bacterial small subunit ribosomal RNA", at positions 36 to 518 of the family's 1533-position model. The record is from RNAcentral.
CUGGCGGCGUGCCUAACACAUGCAAGUCGAGCGAUGAACCUUCGGGUGGAUAGCGGCGGACGGGUGAGUAACACGUGGGUAACCUGCCUCAAAGAGGGGGAUAGCCUCCCGAAAGGGAGAUUAAUACCGCAUAACAUUAUUUCUUCGCAUGAAGAGAUAAUCAAAGGAGUAAUCCGCUUUGAGAUGGACCCGCGGCGCAUUAGCUAGUUGGUGAGGUAAUGGCUCACCAAGGCGACGAUGCGUAGCCGACCUGAGAGGGUGAUCGGCCACAUUGGAACUGAGAUACGGUCCAGACUCCUACGGGAGGCAGCAGUGGGGAAUAUUGCGCAAUGGGGGAAACCCUGAACCGCAGCAACGCCGCGUGGGUGAAGAAGGCCUUCGGGUUGUAAAGCUCUGUCUUCUGGGACGAUAAUGACGGUACCAGAGGAGGAAGCCACGGCUAACUACGUGCCAGCCGCCGC